Molecule: transfer RNA, 72 nt
Filed under: Phage Phass-1
Lineage: Duplodnaviria; Heunggongvirae; Uroviricota; Caudoviricetes
Rfam family: tRNA
About the family: Transfer RNA (tRNA) molecules are approximately 80 nucleotides in length. Their secondary structure includes four short double-helical elements and three loops (D, anti-codon, and T loops).
Source: Rfam by way of RNAcentral
UUGUGAGUAGCUUAAUGGUAGAGCACCUCGUUGUGGCCGAGGCAGGUGUGGGUUCGAAUCCCAUCUUACAAC